Molecule: long non-coding RNA, 1029 nt
Organism: Dromaius novaehollandiae (emu)
Lineage: Eukaryota; Metazoa; Chordata; Aves; Casuariiformes; Dromaiidae
Exons: 3
Source: RefSeq, a predicted model, not a curated record
GUGUGCACUUUUCAUCUGUGGAGGAUGCCUUGCAAGCACAGCUGCAUGCAAUUACAAUGCUUUACAGGAUGCAGGCUUAAAAGAGGCAAAAUAUAAGGCUCGCGAUGGUAGAUACCAGUGAAAACUGGAUUGUUGGAGUAGUUCAUACUGUGGCGCCAGGAGAUGUGAAUCAGAGCCGUGUUAUUAGAAACCAGAACAAGUAACUAAACAGUGCUGCGCUCUUCUCGACACUCCACAGGCGAGCUUGUUUCCAAAUCUCCUGACCUUCCUGACUCAUGCCUUUGCGGUGAAGAGAGGUUGACAUGAGAUUUCCAAAAAAUGCACAGGAGCAGCAUCUCUCACCCUUGCUGUCCAUGGGUGAUGAUCCCAAGCAAGUCGUGUGCUGCGGCACCAACAUCCCUUGUCCUCGUGGACACAGAUGCUGACACUGCAGAUCCCACGGGCGUCUUCCACCCCAGCUCUCCCAGAAACUCUUAUCCUUGGACUUGGAUAUGAAGGGAACCAGGUCCUUCCCUAAUUCCACACCACUCCUGAGCUCCCUUCCCACGGUCUCCUCGUCAGCCGAGGACAGGCCCAAUGCUCAGCCUGAAGAGCCUGCAGGGGCUGGAGACCUUCUCGCCUCGCCAGCUAGAGAAGUUGGGUGAAAAUAUCCAGAGUUUAAGACAGAGAAUGAAACAACUGCCAAGGACUUCUAGCUUCUACCAGAGCAAAAAGGUUCAUUCCCAGGCCUAAAGCCCUAUCUUGCACACACUAUAUGCUAAAUCUUUGCAGUAAAAAACACUAGUAUCCAUGUAGGGCAAAUGUUGUUCUUCACAUAAUCAUUCAUUAACCUUUCUAGAAGUUCCUCAUUUGCAUGCAACCUGCCCAAGUUAUAAGUAAAGGGACAUUAUACAUACAUACAUACAUGUAUAUAUAUGCAAUACAAUGUUCUAAAGGGUCUCAAAUGUAAAGUCUCAUCUAUGAUUUUUUUUUCCAAGUGUGCAUUUCAGAGCAGCAUUAGAACAACAUAGAUAUUUAAAAAAAAUUUUA